UACAGAGGGGGCAAGCGUUGUUCAGAAUUACUGGGCGUAAAGGGCGCGUAGGCGGCCUGUUAAGUCGAACGUGAAAUCCCCAGGCUCAACCUGGGAACUGCGUCCGAUACUGGCAGGCUUGAAUCCGGGAGAGGGAUGUGGAAUUCCAGGUGUAGCGGUGAAAUGCGUAGAUAUCUGGAGGAACACCGGUGGCGAAGGCGGCAUCCUGGACCGGUAUUGACGCUGAGGCGCGAAAGCCAGGGGAGCAAACGGG
This 253-nucleotide ribosomal RNA is filed under the name uncultured bacterium. RNAcentral describes it as "partial 16S ribosomal RNA". It matches the Rfam family "Bacterial small subunit ribosomal RNA", at positions 524 to 776 of the family's 1533-position model. The record is from RNAcentral.